Molecule: long non-coding RNA, 313 nt
Organism: Triplophysa dalaica
Lineage: Eukaryota; Metazoa; Chordata; Actinopteri; Cypriniformes; Nemacheilidae
Exons: 3
Source: RefSeq, a predicted model, not a curated record
GUCAGUGUCAAUCAUCAUGUGCGUUAGCUUUAAACUGUGCAAAGAUUAAAAAUGAUAAGGCGGCACUAUCAGUCUGGUGCAGAGAAGAGAAAGAAGAGGAUAGAAGAUGAGAAAAGAAAUGAUCAAGAAAAGGGGGCACUUUUGAAGUAGUUUCCAAAGAAUGAAUUUACAGCAGGUGAAACCAGCAGCUGCCUCCUCCUCACAUGACAGCCUUGGCCCUGUCUCAGGCUACAUUGGCCUUGCUUCCAGCUUAUCUGUUGCCUCCACCACAUCCUCCAGUGUCCUUAGAAUUUUAUUUUAAAGAUUAAUUUAC